Molecule: ribosomal RNA, 3465 nt
Filed under: Triticum aestivum (bread wheat)
Lineage: Eukaryota; Viridiplantae; Streptophyta; Magnoliopsida; Poales; Poaceae
Description: partial small subunit ribosomal RNA
Source: RNAcentral
AUGGACCUCCUCAUCGCGCAGAUCACCACCGAUCUCCGCUCCUCGGACGCUCUCCGGCAGUCGUCAGCGCUCUUGCAGGCCCUGCAGCAGUGCGCCGCCGGCCGCGACGUCUCCGCGCUAGCCCGCACCGCCGCCACCGAGAUCCUAGCGGCACCCUCCUCCGCCGUCUGCAAGCGCCUCGCGCUCGACCUUCUCCGUGCGCUGCCCCUGCCCCCCGAUCUCCUCGACCCGCUCCUGCUCUCCUCCCUACGCUCCGACCUCUCCUUCCCGGAUCCCGACGUCGCCGCCUCCUCCAUCGCCUCAUUCCCGUCGCUCCCCUCGCACCUACUCCCAACCCUCCUCUCCUCCGCGCACGCCGACAUCGCUGCCGCUCUCUCCUCGCCCGCCGAGUCACUCCGCCUUGCCGCCGUUACCUCCCUCUCCUCCCUCCUCCCGCGCGAUGACCUCGCGCUUAUGUGCUCCACCAACCCCUCGCUCAUGGGGCACGCCACCACCUGGUGGGGCCGUCUGACCGAGCUGGCCUUGGACUCUGCAGACGCAGUGGCAGCCGCAGCGUUCGAGGCACUUGCUCGGCUGUUCCAGGAGCUGGACGCGCGGCGUAUGAGCCGGCUUGCUGGAGACAAGCUCGUUGAUGGAGAGGGUGCGCUCGCUGUGCGUGCCCAGUGGGCAGCUGACGCCAUCGACUUCAUCUGGUCCCGGCGAAACAUGCUCAUUGCUAGAUCCAUGGUGAUGCCCGUCGAGAGCUUCCGGGUCACUGUGUACCCUCUUGUGCAUGCAGCAAAAAUGGUUGCAUCUGGCGCGGUGAACACGCUGCGGCAGAUUGCCAAACCAGGAGACACUACAAUAGCCGAUACCGUGGAGGCGAGUGCGGAGAAGUUGGUGGGGGUGUCUGACAUUGUCUCGCACUUGCUUCCUUUCCUUAGCUCGCUGGAACCGCCACUGGUGUUUGAGGUGGGGAUCAAUAUGCUCUCGCUCGCAGAUGCGCCCGGAGGCAAGCCGGAGUGGGCUUCAGCUGCCAUUAUUGCAAUCCUAACACUAUGGGACCGACAAGAGUUCUCAUCAAUGAGGGAGACGAUUGUCAGAGCUGUUGUGGCGAAUCUCCAUUUGCUGGAUCUUGGAAUGCAGGUGUCUCUGUUCAAAAGGCUGCUUCAGAUGCUGAAAAAUUUGAGAGCAGAAUCAGAUCGAAUGCAUGCAUUGGCAUGCAUUUGCCGAACUGCUCUUUGUGUUGAUCUUUUUGCAAAGGAGAGCGUUCGAAGAGGUCAGAAGCCCGUUCCAGGAACAGAUGUGAUAUCUCUUUUUGAGGAUGCAAGGGUGAAGGAUGAUCUAAACAGCAUAACAAGCAAAAGCUUGUUCAGAGAAGAGUUAGUUGCCUCACUGGUUGAAAGUUGUUUCCAGCUAUCUCUUCCACUACCUGAGCAGAAGAAUUCUGGGACAGAGAGCAGAGUUAUAGGGGCAUUAGCCUAUGGUACUGGUUACGGUGCGUUGAAUUGGACAGAACCUGCUUUGGAUGUGGUGGAAGUUUGCAGGCCUUGUGUUCUCUGGGACUGUGACGGGCGUACCUAUGCAAUUGAUUGCUAUCUGAAGUUGCUUGUACGGCUUUGUCAUAUAUAUGAUACCAGAGGCGGCGUGAAGACAAUUAAGACUGGUGCAUCUCAAGAUCAGAUUCUAAAUGAGACUAGACUUCGAAAUUUGCAGCUACAGCUUAUUAGGGAUCUUCGUGAGGUUCAUACCUCAAGAAUAUCAUCACGGCUGAUAUGGGCAAUUUCUGAACACUUUGAUCUUGAAGGUCUUGAUCCUCUUUUAGCUGACGACCCAGAGGAUCCUCUGAAUAUUAUCAUAUCUAACAUGCAUAAGACUUUAUUCAACACCGAUUCCUCUGCCACUACAUCAAAUAGGAUACAAGAUGUGCAGGCUGUCCUCAUAUGCGCUCAGCGUUUGGGAACCAGAAAUGCAAGAGCCGGCCAGCUCCUCAGUAAAGAAUUGGAGGAGUUCAGGUCAAGUACUUCAGCUGAUUCUGUCACCAAGCAUCAGUCACGUUAUGUCUUGCAGAUAAUAAAGUAUGUGACGAAUCAUCCAGAUAACAGGUGGGUUGGUGUAGGCGAUGCUACAGGAGAUUACCCUUUUAGCCACCACAAACUUACAGUUCAGUUUUCUGAGGCUGCUGCUGCACAAGAUAGGAAAUUGGAGGGAUUAGUUCAUAAGGCCAUUCAGGAGCUUUGGAGGCCCAAUCCCAGCCAGUUAACUCUCCUACAGACUAAGGGUAUCGGUGCUUUGCACAAAGAUCUUCCAAAAGCAUGCACUCUGACUGGCAGCAGCGAUCCAUGUUACAUCGAAGCAUAUCAUUUGGCGGAUCCAACUGAUGGCAGAAUCACCCUACAUUUAAAGAUUUUGAAUUUGACUGAGCUGGAACUCAACAGGGUGGAUAUCCGAGUUGGGCUCUCUGGAGCAUUGUAUUAUAUGGAUGGAUUUUCCCGCACUGUUCGCCACCUGCGUAAUCUUGUUUCCCAGGAUCCAGUCCAAAGUAGUGUCACUGUGGGAGUUUCACAUUUUGAGAGAUGCUCUCUCUGGGUUCAAGUCCUGUAUUACCCAUUCUACGGAAGUGGAGGAUCGGCAGACUAUGAAGGAGAUUAUGCAGAAGAGGACUCACAAAUGACGAGGCAGAAGCGCGCGCUCCGGCCAGAGCUUGGGGAGCCGGUUGUUUUACGGUGUCAGCCCUACAAGAUCCCUCUCGCUGAACUUCUCUUGCCAUAUGAAUGCUCUCCAGUUGAGUAUUUUCGUCUAUGGCCAAGCUUGCCAGCCAUGGUUGAGUGCACUGGCACAUACACAUAUGAAGGUAGUGGUUUCAAGGCCACUGCAGCUCAGCAGUAUGAUAGCUCUCCUUUCCUCAGUGGGUUGAAGUCAAUUUAUUCCAAGCCCUUCCAUCAAGUCUGCUCUCAUUUCAUCCGAACAGUUGCUGGGUUCCAGUUGUGUUACGCUGCAAAGACAUGGUUUGGUGGGUUUGUGGGCAUGAUGAUCUUCGGUGCAAGUGAGGUCAGCCGAAAUGUUGAUCUGGGUGACGAGACAACCACGAUGAUAUGCAAGUUUGUCGUGCGUGCAUCUGAUGAAUCGAUCACAAGAGAGAUCGAGUCGGACCUCCAGGGCUGGCUGGAUGACAUCACGGACGGCGCUGUUGAAUACAUGCCCGAAGAAGAGGUGAAGAGCACAGCUGCGGAGCGGCUGAAGAUAUCCAUGGAGAGGAUAGCGCUACUCAAGGCAGCCAAACCUAAGAUGCCGCCCGCGAAAACCGAGCAAGAAGAGGAAGAGGAGAGGAAGCAGAGCGAGGAGUUGGACGGGUUUGGGAACCCCAAGGGCCCCUCGACGCUCUCCAAGCUCACGGCGGAGGAAGCCGAGCACCGUGCGCUCCAAGCAGCCGUGCUCCAGGAGUGGCACCAGCUCUGCAAGGAGAAAGCCAUGAAGGCACAGUGA